Entelurus aequoreus (snake pipefish) is the source of this 365-nucleotide long non-coding RNA. RefSeq lists it as uncharacterized. The record is from RefSeq and is a predicted model, not a curated record. The transcript has 3 exons. NCBI's taxonomy places the organism in Eukaryota, Metazoa, Chordata, Actinopteri, Syngnathiformes, Syngnathidae.
ACUGCUGAUGUGUGACGGCCACAGCAGGUGGAGGGACGGGGACGCAGCAGCUCACCUUACUUUGAGAUGAGGGGGUCCUCAAAGGUCUCUGCGUCACAAAUUCCUUGGAGAGAAUUGGAGAGCUCGCUUCCACAGCUAGUGGGUCCAUGACGAUGACUUCUGUUUUGUUUGAUCAACCGUUUUACUGCCGUGUUACAGACACAGUUUGGAAGCAAUUAAGGAUGCCAGAGUCCUCCCAGAUUAUUUGGUUCUAAGGCUGUUUACAAUGCUGAAAGGUGACAAGAACAUUUUAUUCUACAAAACAGGAGUAAGUACAAACAACCGCAACACCAGCGCUGAAGACAGAGUGUCAAGCUAUCAAGAGG